CAGCUUCCCAACGAGUUAUUUUAUGAGCAAGUGAAGCCCUUUAGAAAUGACCAACCUUGAAUUUCAAAAUAUAUUCUUCUUGUCCUCCUUUCUGUGGCUUCUUUCCCAUCUAUAGGCAUCUCAAAACUCUUUGGGAAAGGAUAUCUGUUGGAUAUUUACUUUAUGGUCUGUUUUACUCCAUCUCUGUCCACUCUAUAUGCCAUGGUGACACAGGUCAGUGAAGACACUGCAAGGAAAGAGCCAUCUGAGAAAUCUGGAGAGGACAGAAAGCUGGUGACAACUGUCAAACUGUCAGGAUUACAAAAGACCGUGGUCCCAUUGCAUGACAGAGGUCAGAAUUUACUGACGCCGGCUGUACUUGCUACUGAGAACAAAUUACUAAGAAGUUGGGACUUCCUUGUGGCUCAGCUUUACCUCCAGGAGUGACCAAUAUAGGAGGAGUCAGAAUGUCAUCAUUUUCCAACAUUUUGAACCUCAACAUCCCUUCAUACAUAAGCUGGGACUUCCAAUGGGCAGGCAGCGUGCAAUGUUGACCUUCACUUCAGCAUGAGCUUCUUAUGUGUACUAUGUACUUUCACUGAAAAAAGGGCCUUUGGAAGAGAUGAGUGCUUGUUUUAUGAAAAACUUAGUAGAGAUUAAUCCUUUAAAUGCUCUAAUUAUAGCUAUUUAAGUAUAAGGUAUCUAAACUAAGCUUAUCACCUUCAGAGAGACAACAGCUGACCUUAUAGGCAAAAGAUGAGCACCUGCAAUUAGCAAGUGAUCACUUCCUGAGAUGGGCAGGUCUAAUUAUCUUUUCUGAGAACCUUGUUCUCUCCACUCAUUAUAAAAAGAUAGCCUAAACAAUCUGGUCAUAUCACGUGCUUAACUUUCAGAAGGCUAAAGUAGAUGAGGUAAAUCCUACCUUUAUCCAAGGAGUGUCUAACUUGGGGUUAAUGCCUGCUAGCAAUUGCUGCUCAUCACCAGGCUGCUAAGCCUCCACAGGCUUAGCAUCUGCAGAAGACCAGUUAAGAAGACCAGAAGAUUUAAAUGACUGCAUAACCCAGGAAGCCAAAAACAACAAAGAAAGCAAAAGGUAGUUUCAGCUUAAGUAGUUGUUACUGUCAGCUGAUAAAGGGAAAAAUGUUUCCUAUCCCUCCUUAGAUUGUUUGUACAUAUGAGAUUAAUUUGGGUAUUAAAUGAUAAUAGUAACAGUAAAACAAUUGUUAAAGCAGGAGCCUUUUCGAGGAUAUAAAAAGUCUUGAUUAGAUAUUCUGAGUAUUGUCUAUUCAAACGACAUUUUCCCAUCUCUUCACUCUUUUACAGGCUACUGAAUUUCAGAGUCAUAACUGGACCCAUCAAAAAUGGGUAUCUGGGACCUCAUUUUCUCUUCUUGUCUCCUCUCAUUUCAAUAUUAAAUAAGAUGUUCUCUCUCAGCCUGUGUUCCGACUCCAAAAGCUCAUCUGCGAAUUUGACUAGGGCUGAAUGGAUUAUUCAAAGCAUGCAUGUUUGCUGCUUUGAAGGGGACUGUUUUGAUUCCAUUCAUUAGAACAAUAGUGAGAAUAGUGUCCAAAUGUACUCGCUGCGACUGCCUGUAAUGCUCUUAUGCAUAUGCAUGGCUACAGUCUUGUAUUGUCAUAUGGACCCUUUGUGUCAGGUCUGAGUCAUUUUGCUCUCACUACAUAAGUUACUGUAGGAGUGCUUUCUCAUUUAUUUUUUCUGUUAUCAAUUUAAACCUUUAAAGGCAAGCAAAUAAAUUCUCUCUGCUGUCAUCUAAAUAUAUAUUA
RNAcentral lists this long non-coding RNA (1763 nucleotides) under Anser brachyrhynchus (Pink-footed goose). RNAcentral describes it as "lncRNA (ENSABRG00000005805.1)". Lineage: Eukaryota; Metazoa; Chordata; Aves; Anseriformes; Anatidae. The record is from RNAcentral.